Molecule: long non-coding RNA, 1257 nt
Filed under: Homo sapiens (human)
Lineage: Eukaryota; Metazoa; Chordata; Mammalia; Primates; Hominidae
Description: HSALNT0032460
Source: RNAcentral
CCCUUGGGCCAUCCCUUACAACCAUGUUUUUGACUUCUUGAAAAUGACUCUUUCACAGGAUGCAGAGGGUUGUCAGUGACUCGGGAGUUGUGGGUGUGCCCGUCUUAUCAAUCCCCACAGCCUUGCCUGUGGAGAUGCCCUAUCUGUCCCCACUCUGUCAAGCCCAGGGAAAGGCGUGGGGUCAGAGGAUUUGGCUCUGUCACACCAUUCACUGCCUGCCCUUCUUCCCAGCGCUUCCAAGAUCUGGUUGUAUUAAACACGAGAAUGAAGAGAGGAAAACACCUUCGCCCACGGUGUGCUCUGGGGACAUCUCCAGGUGUGGGUGGUGGCGUCAGCCACAGGACAGAAAAACCACCUACAAGGACUCCUCAAACUCACAAUAAACAUAGACUGUUCUCAUAGGGCUUUGCCAUGCCUGGAGUUCUUCAACCCAGGAAAAGUGGCUACAAGACCUUGAUGUUCCACUCAGAGGACCAGGGAUUAUGGUGGGAGAGAUGACAUAAGGACUGAAAUCACACAAAGGUGCAAAUGACUAAUGCCAGUAGGUUUCUGGAAGCAGGUUCCGUAGACUUGAGGGUGCACUCCGAGGAAAGCUGAGUGAUGAGGAAGCACCAGGAAGGAAGUGCUCAGAAAAGGGGAGGCCGGUGGCUGGAGUGACUCCUGGUCUAGCAGUUCUUCAUGUCCAUCUUGUUUUCAUGCCAAGGGAAUUUCAGCCUUACCUUUGCCCAGGUUUGGGUGGCAAUGAUAGGGACAGGAGAAGGGAAAUUCUGGGCAGAAGUGGGUGGGUCUCCAGCAAGGGCCUCACCCUCAAGCCUAAAACUAUGGCCCAAAGUGAGAACAUUCCUGUUUUCCUGCUUGACUGUUGCCUUUUCCAAAACCACCCAUGGCCCGCCCCACUCCUAACCUGUGCCCAAGAAAGCCCCAGGCUCCACUAGCAGAGAGAGAAGAGAAGAAGCAGUUGGAUGUCAGAGACUAUGGUUGAAUGUCGGAGAGAAGGGGCUUGACUUCAGAGGGACAGCUUGAUGGCAUAGCUUUGGAGAGGAGUCUGGCCAGGGAUGGCCAGACUCCGGGGGAAGAUUACCUACCCACUCCCUCCCCUUCUCAGCUCCCCUUCUCACUGAGAGCCACUUUCAUCAGCAAUAAAAUCCCCUGCAUUUAUCAUCUCCAAUUUGUUUGUGUGACCUCAUUCCUCCUAGACCUCAGAUAAGAAUUUGAGUGUGGGUGCAAAGGGCUGUCACACUGACCCUCCACUGAGCU